GAUGAACGCUGGCGGCGUGCCUAACACAUGCAAGUCGAGCGAACAGACGAGGAGCUUGCGCCCUUGACGUUAGCGGCGGACGGGUGAGUAACACGUGCAUCACCUACCUAUAAUACUGGGAUAACUUCGGGAAAACGGAGCCAAUACCGGAUCAUAUAUUCAACCGCAUGGAUCAAUAGAGAAAGACGGCUUUCCUGUCACUUUUAGACGGUUCCGGGUCGGAUUAGCUAGUUGGUAAGGUAACGGCCUACCAAGGCAACGAUGCGUAGCCGACCUGAGAGGAUGAUCAGCCACACUGGAACUGAGACACGGUCCAGACUCCUACGGGAGGCAGCAGUAGGGAAUAUUCGACAAUGGGCGCAAGCCUGACGGAGCAAUACCGCGUGGGUGAUGAAGGUCUUCGGAUCGUAAAGCUCUGUUAUUGGGAAAGAAAAGCAGUAGAUGUAAAUAUGGACGUCUUGACGGUACCUAAACAGAAAGCAACGGCUAACUUCGUG
This 497-nucleotide ribosomal RNA is filed under the name uncultured bacterium. RNAcentral's name for it is "partial 16S ribosomal RNA". It matches the Rfam family "Bacterial small subunit ribosomal RNA", at positions 28 to 507 of the family's 1533-position model. The record is from RNAcentral.